Molecule: small nuclear RNA, 107 nt
Organism: Ochotona princeps (American pika)
Lineage: Eukaryota; Metazoa; Chordata; Mammalia; Lagomorpha; Ochotonidae
Source: Ensembl
AUGCUCACUUUGGCAGCACAUAUACUAAAAUUGGAACAAUACAGAGAAGAUUAACAUAGUUCCUGCGCAAGGAUGACAUGCAGAUUCGUGAGGCAUUCCAUAUGUUU